Lolium perenne is the source of this 4331-nucleotide long non-coding RNA. RefSeq lists it as uncharacterized. The record is from RefSeq and is a predicted model, not a curated record. Lineage: Eukaryota; Viridiplantae; Streptophyta; Magnoliopsida; Poales; Poaceae.
CCACCACCGCCUCCCCAUCCGCCGCUCCCCGCCGCCUCCCCAUCCGCCGAUCCCCGUCGCGGCCGUCGUCCUCACCGGCGAGCCGCCGUCGCCCGAUCUGGGUAAUCAAGGGCAAGGACGAGCGGUGAGGUAAGGACGAGCGGUUCGAUCUGACACGGCCGCGCUCGCCUUGUCUUCGUCGGCUCCGGUGAGGCAGGGCCAUGGGUGUCGCACCACCACCCAUCUCACCGCUUGCAGCACCGCUGCGUCGUGCUGUCGCAUGGAGAAGCGCGGCUGGUGGCCGGCAGAUGCAGAGUAGCCUGUUUCUCCCAGAGCCAACCUUAUCUCCACCCUGUCCACUCAAUUGAUGACCAGCCACGAGCAUCCAAUCCCCUCCCCUUCGUGUCCUCCCCAGGCCCAUCCUGUUCGGCCGCCGCCGCCACUCGCGCCUAGCUGCUGAUCUUCUCCAUGGUGAACAAGGAGAGGCUACGAGCAGCAGUGCGAUUUGGCCGGAGGAGAUGGAGCUUGAUGUGUGGAAGAUGAAGACCGAUGCGAGGGCUCAGCCUCCACCGCCGCCCUCCUCCCCCUCGCCGUCGAGAUCGCGCCGCCGCAGCAGAUCGCGGGUGAGACGUAACUCAGCGGGUGCUUGGCUUCGAUUUGGCCGGAAAGACGCCGGCCAACAGCACAACGGCCGGCCCUCCUCCGUCUCUUCAUUUUUUCAAAGACCUACAGGUUGAACUACAUGCCUAGCCGUGUCCUCAGUAUAUCCAACAAAUAGCUCUACUACCCUGAGUUGUAUGCAGGAGCACUGUGUUUUGGUUUUCUAUGCUGGGAAGUAAUGAUGUUGCUAUAUUUAUCUUAGCCAUGCACAUCUCUAUGACCAAUGCUUUAAUUUCAGUCAUUUUAUUGUCUGUUCAUGGACCUUCCAAUCGUCCGUUUGUGAUGGUUCCAUGUGGGAGAUUAUUGUAGUUAGAAGGUAGAAUGUAAAAAGGCACAGAUGUGGACGCCUGAGUCGUUCACGGUGGCGUCACAGUCAUCCUCGCCCUCGCCCUCGACGAGCACGAGCCGCCGCUAAACCACCUGAGUGAGAUCACCGUUAUAAAACAUAAACAUUGGCAUGAGCUCUACAGGAUCGUGCGCCAAGGCGCACAUCUAAACAUUGGCAUGAGCUCUUCUCCCACUUACUUCAGCCGUCGGCCUUUGACCUCUUCAUAUUUUUAGGAUGUUAAUUAACAACUCCGCCGCACCUGGGCGUAUGUCUCUGCCCUAUGAAUUGGUGUAUGCAGGGAAGAUUAUGUAGAAGAGGUUGUUUAGUUUUUGCUGGUUUGCAACACAACAUGAGCCUCUCACGAAGCAACUUUUCCUGCUGGAUUGGACAAUAUGUAUGGCUUCCCCCUCUUAGUCAUCUCUUUGUGUGAUUUCUCGUGAGUGGUGUGAGAUUGUUGUGAAAGUAUGUAAUCCUACAGUGUUACAGUCCACACAUUUGAGAUAUAUAGUUCUUUGGGUGCUAAUUUCUUGCCUAAUAGAGAUCACCAUGCAGAUUAUACAUUUGCGUGCCGUAAGCUAUAGAUCUCUGCUAAUUCUUAAAACCAAAUAAAUAUACUCUUUUAGCUAAGAUCUUUAUUUCUUAAAUGUUCCAGGCUAUUGUGUUCAUCUACCUAGCAUGCUUUGGAUUUUGUCAGUCAGAGUCAGGUCUCAUCACCUAAUGCAGUAGUCAAUUCCUUCUUCAUUCUACAUGCACAUCAUGUGCUUUGUGAAAAUUUCUAACGUCUUGUUGUUGUAUUAGGUCUGACAUCGGAAAAUAAAUCCGGCAGUAGCCACCAGAGAGGUUGUGCAUGCUAGGAACAUUGCAGUAGGUAGUAUCUCAAGCAAGGAUGGAGAGGCUAUGCAAAGAUCCAAUGCUAGCAGCUACAUUUUUAUUUCAGCAUGGACGGUGAUAAAUCAUUGAUUGCCUAUAUCUCUUUUGAAAGGUGCAAAGUUUUAGAUUUUUGAGCUACAUGUGUAUUAUGGAAAUUGUUAAUGUGCUCUGGGUGAAUUCUGGGGCUUCCCAUGGCCCUCGGAAUGGUGGCUGGCCACCUGAUCGAGGCUCCCGAGAGGAUCCCAGCUGUACAUUUUCUUCACCGUGUGAGCUAAAGAACCCACAACUCAUAUUUGAUUCGUAAGGUGGGUUUUUGUCUCCUGUUACUCUAAUAUGCCAAUGACACAUUAUUUAAUAUAUCCUUGCGGUUCUAUUCAAGUGCGGUCAGAGACCAAGGAAAAAAAGUAUGUGCUCCUUCUUACCAUCUACUUCAUGUUAUUUCACUAGGAUUAUUACUUCUCAUUUUACUACAGUUUUACAUCACUCAUCUGGUAUGUUGUCUGUUGAGUUGGCAUUAUCGGUUUGUUAGUUAUGCCUCGAGAAAAUCCCAUUUGCAUGAUUCCGUUGAUUUUUUUGUGUGUAAGGUGUCCUGAACCAAUACAAGAUCUGAGCUCUCAAAUGACAUAAAUUGGGAGUCAAACCUCACUUUGUCAUAGUUAUAUUGUUGAUCAAUUUGUAUUGUAAAGUUUAGCACUCUCUGUUAUAAUUGGUCAGGUUAUCCCAGGCAUAUGAUUUAUCUCUGUGUAGGUUCUUAAUUUUACCUUGAAGAAUGAGAUGAGCAUAAUCAAACAAUAUUAAUGAUUUUAGAUUCCCCCACUGUUAUUUAUUUGUGUCUAUAAAUUAUUGUGUUUCUAAAGAAGAAGAAAAAAAAGAAACUGAUGUUUCUGUUGCAUGUGGUUUUCAGACAGGGAACAAUGUUCUUUUCAAGAUGCAUGUAUCAUGUAUGCUCAGUAAUUUUGAUCUAACAACUUAUAUUGUGCACUAAAGGUAUCUGCAUUUAUUUAUUAUUUGCAAGAUCUGGCACCUGCAUUAUUAAUAUGCUGAAACACAAUAUUUGUAUUCUGAAUUUCAAACAUUCAAGCACAUUCUCAACUUUCCCUUUUUUUGUUUUUAUAAAUUCUUGAAGCAGGCAAUACGAUACAUAGAGGAAAUGGAUAGUACACUCCGAUCUGAAGCCUGCCAAUUUUGUGCUUAUAAAUGCAUCCGUGUAUUUCUGAAUGUGAGAAUGUGAAGCAACUUUGGGCAGUUUUCUAAAUUUUACAAUCAAUGUGAUUUCCAGAUGCAGACUUCUUUUUCUACAUGAAUAAUAAUUUAAUUAAUCAUACUUGAUCUGCUUUACAUGCUACAGAUUUGGCACAAGCACCUCCAGCAGAAUAACGAUCUCAUUUUGACUCUGUUUCGUAAAAUGCGCACUGAAGACGGUAAUGAGAAACAUGAACCUGGCAUCAUGAAGAAUUACCUGCUGAAGACGGUAAUGUUGCAGGCGUGGGAGAAGAGGAUGAACCAAUUGAAGCUGCCCACAAGCGUGGUGUGUGUACCCUGUCGGCAGACUUCGGCAACCGGCCGUGCCAUGCCGGUUGCAUCUGGUUUAGGUGGAUAUGAAAACCUUGCUAUGCUGCAGUCUACUGAGUAUUCUGGUAGUGUCUGAAGUUGACGUGGUGUUAUCCUUCCUCAGCGGGCUUCUCUCCGGUGGGAAGCCUCUAUUUUUAUCAUCCUUUCCAUUUUCUACUAUGUUUUUAACUUCAUGUAUUUGUAUAUUUUCUUCCAUGCUUGAAAUUGCAUAGGAGGUUAGCACUAACUGAAGUUGAGAGAGGGGACAUAACGUGUAGGUGUUCCAGAGUAUUUCUUAACAUCGUGAUAUGGAUUUUUUAGAUUAAAUAAAAAAUUAUUUAUAACCAAUGAUGGUUUUUUCUAUCGCUUAAUACAAAUAGAUAGCUUUUAGAUAUAUUAUGUCAACAUUGAGUUCAUAUUCAGUAGAUAUGCGUCUUAUUUUAUUUUUGUUGCACUGUCUGCGCCGCUAAAAAAGAUGGUAUGCAUGCCAACAAAAACUGCAGAACACCCUUCAUAAAGGAAAUAUAGUGUUAUAUUUUGGUAGUCUGAGAACAUGUCAUCAAUUGAUACAUUUGCAUGCGUGCAGUGCAGGUGUUUGCAUAUUGGUGUGUUGGGGUGAUCUCGGUGGGUGAAAGAAAAUUGUAUCCUCUCAUGGGGCUGCCGCCAUAGUCCAUUCAAUGGCAGUAUCCUUGCCGAUGUUGAUGUCCACGCCCAUAUACAGAGUCCACUUGAUUUUCUUCGCAGAGCAAAGGCGCUGAAGAGAUUCUCAUAGUUGAUCCUUUUGUGGGUGCUUGUUCGGUGGGUUACUGUUAAUUUGAUUUUUAAUUACUUUGACUGUAGACAUGUCCUGACAUUAGUGAUGAUUAUGGCACUAUGCUGCAAGCUUUGAUGCAUUUUUCCAAGAAAUGACCGCCGGACAUGUUUUCCAUAUUGUACUUACUAA